GAAAAAAAUUUUUUCAAAAGACAAAAAUGGACAUCUGUGAUUUUCUCACGACAGCGACAAAAUGUUUGUGUGUGACUUAAGUGAGACAAACAACACUGGCUGACAGGCUGUACAAGAAAGCAGCAGCGGAAAGCACCAAUUUUUGUGCUUGAGGAGGUGUGUGAUGUCACUUCAGUGCACUUUCACCUCAGUUUCAUGGACUGGAUGACACAUGCGCACGCAUCACUCAACGCUUCUGAACUUGUGCUUUCCCAAAUUGUUGAAAAUAUUGCAUUUUCUCCAAAGCACAUGUUCAGAAGCGGUGAGUGAUGUUGUUGCCUGCCUCCACGUGUGUCAGUGCUGUGCAGUCCAUGCUUCCUCAAGCAGACAGCACGGGGUCCUCUGCUGCUGGUUUCAAUGUACUGCCCGUCAGUUUGUGUCGGUGUGGAACUUUAGUCAAGCUUUGUUGGUAAAAUGAUGAGACAUUGUUGAAAAAAAUAAAUGCUUGUCAAU
Molecule: long non-coding RNA, 492 nt
Organism: Hippocampus comes (tiger tail seahorse)
Lineage: Eukaryota; Metazoa; Chordata; Actinopteri; Syngnathiformes; Syngnathidae
Exons: 2
Source: RefSeq, a predicted model, not a curated record